Molecule: ribosomal RNA, 845 nt
Filed under: uncultured Chloroflexota bacterium
Lineage: Bacteria; Bacillati; Chloroflexota
Description: bacterial SSU rRNA
Rfam family: Bacterial small subunit ribosomal RNA
Source: RNAcentral
GAUAAACGCUGGCGGCGUGCCUUAUGCAUGCAAGUCGAACGAUCCCGAUUUAUCGGGAUAGUGGCAAACGGGUGAGUAACACGUAAGUAACUUGCCCCUAAGUAGGGGAUAACUCUGAGAAAUUGGAGCUAAUACCUUAUGUGGUGAUGGAGUUAAUGCUUCAUCAUUAAAGUCUUAGGGCGCUUGAGGAGGGGCUUGCGUCCGAUUAGCUAGUUGGUAAGGUAACGGCCUACCAAGGCGAUGAUCGGUAGCUGGUUUGAGAGGACGAUCAGCCACACUGGGAUUGAGAUACGGCCCAGACUCCUAUGGGAGGCAGCAGCAAGGAAUAUUGUGCAAUGGGCGAAAGCCUGACACAGCGACGCUGCGUGGGGGAAUAAGGCCUUCGGGUUGUAAACCCCUUUUCUCAGGGAAGAAUAAUGACGGUACCUGAGGAAUAAGUCACGGCUAACUACGUGCCAGCAGCCGCGGUAAUACGUAGGUGGCGAGCGUUAUCCGGAUUUACUGGGUGUAAAGAAAGCGCGGGCGGCUUUUCAAGUCGAAUAUGAAAUCUCCCGGCUUAACUGGGAGGGACUAUUCGAUACUGUUGGGCUAGAGGGCAGCAGGGGGAGGUGGAAUUCCCGGUGGAGUGGUGAAAUGCGUAGAUAUCGGGAGGAACACCAGUGGCGAAGGCGGCCUCCUGGGCUGUUGCUGACGCUGAGGCUUGAAAGCGUGGGGAGCAAACAGGAUUAGAUACCCUGGUAGUCCACGCCAUAAACUAUGGACACUAGGUAUAGGGAGUAUCGACCCUCUCUGUGCCGAAGCUAACGCUUUAAGUGUCCCACCUGGGAACUACGGCCGCAAGGCUA